AUGGCCUUCCGAACCCUACCAGUUAACCUCCAGUUAAUAGCUCUCCUCUUGUCGCUUGCCCUCGCGGCCGAUAACACCUCCAUAAACUCUGGCCUCAUCCUCUUAAAUUGCGGAGGAUCAGGCCAAUAUGAUGAUGUAGAUAGUGGUGGUCGUAUUUGGUACGGGGACACCGGCUCCAAGUUCGCACCAUCGGUGGAAGGAGUUGGAGCCAGUGCCAGUGCUUCAUACCAAGAUCCUUCCCUCCCAUCCAUGAUCCCUUAUAUGACUGCACGCAUCUUCUCUUCAAAUUACACAUAUUCCUUCCCUGUUAGUCAAGGUCGCUUGUUCUUACGCCUCUACUUCUAUCCGGUUGCUUAUGGAAACUAUGCCGUCUCCGAUGCCUUUUUUGGUGUCACUACAGAAAAUCUUGUCCUCUUAAAUGGCUUCAAUGCUUCACAAACAGCCCAGGCAAACAAUUAUGCCUACCUUGUCCGUGAGUUCUCGAUGAAUGUAUCUUCACGCAGAUUGGACCUCACAUUUUCCCCAUCAACAUUUUUGAAUGGUUCAUAUGCAUUUAUCAAUGGCAUUGAGAUUGUGCCCACACCUAACAUCUUCACAACAGCCGACACAACAUUUGUCUACGGUGAUUACAUAGCUCCAUUCUCAUUCGCCGCUGACAAAGGCUUCCAGACCAUGUACCAGCUCAAUGUUGGGGGCCAAGCCAUUUCCCCGAAAGAUGACACGGGCUUUUACCGCUCAUGGGACGUUGAUUCCCCGUACAUAUAUGGUGCCGGCUAUGGGGUGACCCACUCCAAAGAUCCUAGUGUGACUAUCAUGUAUACACCCACAGUGCCGAAUUACACAGCGCCAGUUGAUGUCUAUGGUACAGCUCGGUCGAUGGGGCCAGUUCAACAGUUCAACCUCAACUACAACCUUACAUGGAUUUUGCCGGUUGAUGCUGGGUUCACCUACCUCCUAAGGUUCCAUUUCUGUGAGAUUCAGUCAACUUUUACCAAGGUCAAUCAGAGGUCGUUCUACAUCUACAUCAACAACCAGACAGCGCAGGAGGAUAUGGAUGUAAUCUUGUUGAGCGGAGGAACAGGUACAACAGCAUAUAGGGAAUAUUUUAUCAUGGCUAGUGGUUUUGGUCAAGUGGACAUGUGGAUUGCACUUUCCCCUGAUAUUUCAACUAAUCCACAAUAUUAUGAUGCAAUACUGAAUGGCCUUGAGGUCUUCAAGCUACAAGAUUCCAGCCGAAAUCUUGCUGGGCUCAAUCCUCCUACUCUACAAAAUCCUGACAUUGAUCCUAAUAGGCUAUCUAGCGGUACAAGAAAAUCCAAAGGCGACAUACCAGCAAGAGCAACCAUCAUCGGUGGUGGUGUUGCUGUGCUUUUGAUUACCUUUUUUAGCACAUGUGUUAUCUACAGAUGGAAUAAGGUAGCGAAGAGUUGUCACAAGACCGACUGUGGACCAAAUGGACGCCUGAAGAGUCGUCACUUCUCAUUAGCAGAAAUUCAACUUGCCACCAAUAAUUUUGAUCAAGCACUGAUCAUCGGCAGAGGCGGUUUCGGGAAUGUCUACAGCGGCGAGAUAGAUGGAGGGAUAAAGGUGGCGAUCAAGCGACUCAAGCAGGGAUCCCAGCAAGGCUUUCAUGAGUUCCACACUGAAAUUGGGAUGUUGUGCAAUUUCCGCCAUGGUCACCUUGUAUCUUUGAUUGGCUACUGCAAGGACAAGAAUGAGAUGAUUUUGGUGUAUGACUACAUGCCUCACGGAACACUACGUGAUCAUCUCUACGGAACCAGAAACCCAUCACUGUCGUGGAAGCAGCGCCUUAAUAUUUGCAUCGGUGCAGCCCGAGGGCUGCAUUACCUCCACACUGGCACAGAGCAAGGAAUCAUCCACCGUGACGUUAAGACGACCAACAUCCUACUGGAUGAUAGGUUAAUGGCCAAGGUUUCUGAUUUUGGUCUAUCUAAGGCAUGUACAGAUAGUGACAAGGCGCAUGUGAGCACCGCAGUAAAAGGGUCCUUUGGAUAUUUUGAUCCGGAGUACUUCUUGCUGCGGCGUCUCACCAAAAAAUCAGAUGUGUACUCCUUCGGGGUUGUGUUGUUUGAGAUCCUGUGUGCGCGCCCUGUGAUAAACACCGAGCUCCCGGACGAGCAAGUGAGCUUGCGUGACUGGGCGCUAUCUUGCCAGGACACAGGUGUACUCAAGCAGAUUGUUGACCCCUGCAUUAAGGAGGAAAUCACCCCUGAGUGCUUCAGGAUAUUUUCAGAGCUAGCGGUGAAAUGUGUUUCUGAUCGUAGCAUAGAUAGGCCAUCAAUGGGUGAUGUGCUUCAGAAUCUUGAGGCCGCACUGAGGCUGCAGGACAAUAGAAGCUGUGCCGGGGAUCCAUCAUCUCUUCAGGUCAUCGGUCUAGUGCAUUCAGACAAAGCAUCGACACACUCAGUACUUAGCGUCGCUGCACAGGAAGAGAUAUUCUCAGAUAUUAUACAUCUGGAAGGCCGGUAA
Molecule: ribosomal RNA, 2490 nt
Filed under: Triticum aestivum (bread wheat)
Lineage: Eukaryota; Viridiplantae; Streptophyta; Magnoliopsida; Poales; Poaceae
Description: partial small subunit ribosomal RNA
Source: RNAcentral